GAUGAACGCUAGCGAUAGGCCUAACACAUGCAAGUCGAGGGGCAUCACAUGAAGUAGCAAUACGGAUGGUGGCGACCGGCGCACGGGUGAGUAACACGUAUGCAACCUGCCUUCAACAAGGGGAUAACCCGUUGAAAGACGGACUAAUACCCUAUAACACAGGGGUCCCGCAUGGGAAUAUUUGUUAAAGGACAACCGGUUGAAGAUGGGCAUGCGUUCCAUUAGCUAGUUGGCGGGGUAACGGCCCACCAAGGCAACGAUGAAUAGGGGAACUGAGAGGUUUAUCCCCCACACUGGUACUGAGACACGGACCAGACUCCUACGGGAGGCAGCAGUGAGGAAUAUUGGUCAAUGGACGCAAGUCUGAACCAGCCACGUCGCGUGAAGGAAGACGGCCCUACGGGUUGUAAACUUCUUUUAUACGGGAAUAAAGUGCCCCACGCGUGGGGUUUUGCAUGUACCGUAUGAAUAAGGAUCGGCUAACCCGUGCCAGCAGCCGCGGUAAA
RNAcentral lists this ribosomal RNA (506 nucleotides) under uncultured bacterium. RNAcentral describes it as "bacterial SSU rRNA". It matches the Rfam family "Bacterial small subunit ribosomal RNA", at positions 28 to 524 of the family's 1533-position model. The record is from RNAcentral.